CGGGUGCACUGAUCCAGCCGGGCCUUUCCCUCUGUGGAACCCCAUGGCCUUCACUGGCUGUGGCGGGGAAACAGGACUUUUACUUUGAAAAAAUUAGAGUGCUCCAGGCAGGCCUAUGCUCGAAUACAUUAGCAUGGAAUAAUAGAAUAGGACGUGUGGUUCUAUUUUGUUGGUUUCUAGGACCGCCGUAAUGAUUAAUAGGGACAGUCGGGGGCAUCAGUAUUCAAUUGUCAGAGGUGAAAUUCUUGGAUCUAUUGAAGACUAACUACUGCGAAAGCAUUUGCCAAGGAUGUUUUCAUUGAUAAGGAACGAAAGUUAGGGGAUCGAAGACGAUCAGAUACCGUCGUAGUCUUAACUAUAAACUAUGCCGACUAGGGAUCGGACGAUGUUAUUCUUUGACGCGUUCGGCACCUUUCGAGAAAUCAAAGUGCUUGGGCCCCAGGGGGAGUAUGGUCGCAAGGCUGAAACUUAAAGAAAUUGACGGAAGGGCACCACCAGGGGUGGAACCUGCGGCUUAAUUUGACUCAACACGGGGAAACUCACCAGGUCCAGACACAGUGAGGAUUGACAGAUUGAGAGCUCUUUCUUGAUUCUGUGGGUGGUGGUGCAUGGCCGUUCUUAGUUGGUGGAGUGAUUUGUCUGCUUAAUUGCGAUAACGAACGAGACCUUAACCUGCUAAAUAGCCCGUACUGCUUUGGCAGUUCGCCGGCUUCUUAGAGGGACUAUCGG
Molecule: ribosomal RNA, 729 nt
Filed under: uncultured eukaryote
Lineage: Eukaryota
Description: SSU rRNA
Rfam family: Eukaryotic small subunit ribosomal RNA
Source: RNAcentral